RNAcentral lists this transfer RNA (28 nucleotides) under Pygoscelis adeliae (Adelie penguin). RNAcentral's name for it is "partial tRNA-Leu". The record is from RNAcentral. Lineage: Eukaryota; Metazoa; Chordata; Aves; Sphenisciformes; Spheniscidae.
GCUAGCGUGGCAGACUUGGUAAAUGCAA